This 1074-nucleotide ribosomal RNA is filed under the name Triticum aestivum (bread wheat). RNAcentral describes it as "partial small subunit ribosomal RNA". The record is from RNAcentral. Lineage: Eukaryota; Viridiplantae; Streptophyta; Magnoliopsida; Poales; Poaceae.
AUGAAGACCUUCCUCAUCUUUGCCCUCCUCGCCAUUGCGGCGACAAGUGCCAUUGCACAAAUGGAGACUAGCCACAACCCUGGCUUGGAGAAACCAUCGCAACAACAACCAUUACCACUACAAUAAAUCUUAUGGUACCACCAACAACAACCCAUCCAACAACAACCACAACCAUUUCCACAACAGCCACCAUGUUCACAGCAACAACAACCACCAUUAUCGCAGCUACAACAACCACCAUUUUCACAGCAACAACCACCAUUAUCGCAGCAACAACAACCAGUUCUACCGCAACAACCACCAUUUUUGCAGCAACAACAACCAUUUCCGCAGCAACAACAACCACCUCUACCGCAACAACCACCAUUUUCACAGCAACAACCACCAUUUUCUCAGCAGCAGCAACAACCAGUUCUACCGCAACAACCACCAUUUUCGCAACAACAACAACAACCAAUUCUACCACAACAACCACCAUUUUUGCAACACCAACAACUAGUUCUACCGCAACAACAAUUACCAUAUGUUCAUCCAUCUAUCUUGCAGCAGCUAAACCCAUGCAAGGUAUUCCUCCAGCAGCAUUGCAGCCCUGUGGCAAUGCCACAAAGUCUUGCUAGGUCGCAAAUGUUGUGGCAGAGCAGUUGCCAUGUGAUGCAGCAACAAUGUUGCCAGCAGCUGCCGCGAAUCCCCGAACAAUCACGCUAUGAUGCAAUCCGUGCCAUCAUCUACUCGAUCGUCCUACAAGAACAACAACCUGGUCAGGGUUUCAACCAACCUUAGCAGCAACAACCCCAACAGUCGGUCCAAGGUGUCUCCCAACCCCAACAACAACAGAAGCAACUCGGACAAUGUUCUUUCCAACAACCACAACAACAACAACUCGGUCAAUGGCCUCAACAACAACAGGUACCACAGGGUACCUUAUUGCAGCCACACCAAAUAGCUCAACUUGAGGUGAUGACUUCCAUUGCAUUCCAUACCCUGCCAACGUUGUGCAGUACCAAUGUGCCGGUGUACGGCACCACCACUAGUGUGCCAUUCGGCGUUGGCACCCAAGUUGGUGCCUACUGAUAA